GAUGGACGCUGGCGGCGUGCCUAAUACAUGCAAGUCGAGCGAACGGACGAGAAGCUUGCUUCUCUGAUGUUAGCGGCGGACGGGUGAGUAACACGUGGAUAACCUACCUAUAAGACUGGGAUAACUUCGGGAAACCGGAGCUAAUACCGGAUGAUAUUUUGAACCGCAUGGUUCAAAAGUGAAAGACGGUCUUGCUGUCACUUAUAGAUGGAUCCGCGCUGCAUUAGCUAGUUGGUAAGGUAACGGCUUACCAAGGCAACGAUGCAUAGCCGACCUGAGAGGGUGAUCGGCCACACUGGAACUGAGACACGGUCCAGACUCCUACGGGAGGCAGCAGUAGGGAAUCUUCCGCAAUGGGCGAAAGCCUGACGGAGCAACGCCGCGUGAGUGAUGAAGGUCUUCGGAUCGCAAAACUCUGUUAUUAGGGAAGAACAUAUGUGUAAGUAACUGUGCACAUCCUGACGGUACCUAAUCAGAAAGCCACGGCUAACUACGUG
RNAcentral lists this ribosomal RNA (497 nucleotides) under uncultured bacterium. RNAcentral describes it as "partial 16S ribosomal RNA". It matches the Rfam family "Bacterial small subunit ribosomal RNA", at positions 28 to 507 of the family's 1533-position model. The record is from RNAcentral.